AAUCAACGCUGGCGGCGUGCCUAACACAUGCAAGUCGCACGAGAAAGGGGAGCAAUCCCUGAGUAAAGUGGCGCACGGGUGAGUAACACGUGAAUCAUCUACCUCCGAGUGGGGAAUAACUGAGAGAAAUCUUAGCUAAUACCGCAUAACACUUACGAGUCAAAGCAGCAAUGCGCUUGGAGAGGAGUUCGCGGCCGAUUAGUUAGUUGGCGGGGUAAUGGCCCACCAAGACGAUGAUCGGUAUCCGGCCUGAGAGGGCGCACGGAC
RNAcentral lists this ribosomal RNA (267 nucleotides) under uncultured bacterium. RNAcentral's name for it is "partial 16S ribosomal RNA". It matches the Rfam family "Bacterial small subunit ribosomal RNA", at positions 32 to 309 of the family's 1533-position model. The record is from RNAcentral.